GACGAACGCUGGCGGCGUGCCUAAUACAUGCAAGUUGAGCGCUGAAGGUUGGUACUUGUACCAACUGGAUGAGCAGCGAACUGGUGAGUAACGCGUGGGGAAUCUGCCUUUGAGCGGGGGACAACAUUUGGAAACGAAUGCUAAUACCGCAUAAAAACUUUAAACACAAGUUUUAAGUUUGAAAGAUGCAAUUGCAUCACUCAAAGAUGAUCCCGCGUUGUAUUAGCUAGUUGGUGAGGUAAAGGCUCACCAAGGCGAUGAUACAUAGCCGACCUGAGAGGGUGAUCGGCCACAUUGGGACUGAGACACGGCCCAAACUCCUACGGGAGGCAGCAGUAGGGAACCUUCGGCAAUGGACGAAAGUCUGACCGAGCAACGCCGCGUGAGUGAAGAAGGUUUUCGGAUCGUAAAACUCUGUUGGUAGAGAAGAACGUUGGUGAGAGUGGAAAGCUCAUCAAGUGACGGUAACUACCCAGAAAGGGACGGCUAACUACGU
This 496-nucleotide ribosomal RNA is filed under the name uncultured bacterium. RNAcentral's name for it is "partial 16S ribosomal RNA". It matches the Rfam family "Bacterial small subunit ribosomal RNA", at positions 28 to 506 of the family's 1533-position model. The record is from RNAcentral.